CCUACGGGAGGCAGCAGUGGGGAAUUUUGGACAAUGGGCGCAAGCCUGAUCCAGCAAUGCCGCGUGAGUGAAGAAGGCCUUCGGGUUGUAAAGCUCUUUUGUCAGGGAAGAAACGGUGGGGGCUAAUAUCUCCUACUAAUGACGGUACCUGAAGAAUAAGCACCGGCUAACUACGUGCCAGCAGCCGCGGUAAUACGUAGGGUGCAAGCGUUAAUCGGAAUUACUGGGCGUAAAGCGUGCGCAGGCGGUUUUGUAAGUCUGUCGUGAAAGCCCCGGGCUCAACCUGGGAAUUGCGAUGGAGACUGCAAGGCUUGAAUCUGGCAGAGGGGGGUAGAAUUCCACGUGUAGCAGUGAAAUGCGUAGAGAUGUGGAGGAACACCGAUGGCGAAGGCAGCCCCCUGGGUCAAGAUUGACGCUCAUGCACGAAAGCGUGGGGAGCAAACAGGAUUAGAUACCCUGGUAGUCCACGCCCUAAACGAUGUCUACUAGUUGUCGGGUUUUAAUUAACUUGGUAACGCAGCUAACGCGUGAAGUAGACCGCCUGGGGAGUACGGUCGCAAGNUUAAAACUCAAAGGAAUUGACGG
RNAcentral lists this ribosomal RNA (585 nucleotides) under uncultured bacterium. Its description in RNAcentral is "bacterial SSU rRNA". It matches the Rfam family "Bacterial small subunit ribosomal RNA", at positions 338 to 916 of the family's 1533-position model. The record is from RNAcentral.